This 464-nucleotide unclassified non-coding RNA is filed under the name Hevea brasiliensis (rubber tree). Lineage: Eukaryota; Viridiplantae; Streptophyta; Magnoliopsida; Malpighiales; Euphorbiaceae. The record is from RNAcentral.
UAUGAGAUGGUGUACCAUUGGCUUUUUUUAUAAUCCUUUUUGUGGUUGGAUUAUGUUUUCUUGAGAAGUUGGCCGGAAUGUUAAAGGCUGCCCUUUUAACUAUAAGAGAUUGAGAUGUUUAUGGGGCUUUUUCCUCCUCUGUUUCUUCUCCUACGAGUCACUGAAAAGCAGAGUAGAAGUGCGCUACCAUGUGUGGUGGAUGGGCGGCUGCGUUGUGGGUCUUCUUCCUUCGGGCUACUUCAAGCUUAUGCUUUCCGUUUAAGAUCCACUCUUGUUAAGGCUUGCGCCAUAAUGAAAGUGGCGGCGCGUGGUUGUGGUGCUGCCGACAACAUAAGGUUCUACAGCCCUUGCUUAGCUUCUUGGAGCCUAUUGGCUUUAUACUGGGUUAGGUAAUGUAACUGUCGUUUCCUUUUGUUUCUAACCUAAUUCGGCCAAUUGGUCUUGGAGGCCUUGUAAUGAUGUGC